AAGGGCACCACAAGAACGCGUGGAGCAUGUGGCUUAAUUUGACCCAACGCGGGAAAUCUUACCAGGUCCGGACAUAUUGAGGAUUGACAGGCGAUAGGAUAUAUUAUUAUUAUAUAUAUUCAUAAAAAUGAUAGUCCUUUCAUGAUUAUAUGAUAGGUGGUGCAUGGCCGUUCUUAGUUCGUGGAGUGAUCUGUCUGCUUAAUUGCGUUUCAGAUAUAAUAAUAAUAUUUAAUAUAUAUUUUUAUUAAUAUUAUUAUGUAUAUAUAUUGUUCUGCCUUUUUUUAAAGGAAUUAAAGUGAACAUAUAUAUAUUAUUAUAUAUUAUAUUAUAUAUAUUAUUAUAUAUUAAAAUGAAUGCAACGAACGUGACCG
Molecule: ribosomal RNA, 371 nt
Filed under: Foraminifera environmental sample
Lineage: Eukaryota; Foraminifera
Description: SSU rRNA
Rfam family: Eukaryotic small subunit ribosomal RNA
Source: RNAcentral